CAAGUCGAACGCGAAAGUUCCCUUCGGGGAGCAAGUAGAGUGGCGCACGGGUGAGUAACACGUAGGUAAUCUACCUUUGGAUUGGGAAUAACAACCGGAAACGGUUGCUAAUACCGAAUAAUGCAGCGGCACCUAAUGGUGACAGUUGUUAAAGCGGGGGAUCGCAAGACCUCGCGUCUGAAGAGGAGCCUGCGGCAGAUUAGCUAGUUGGUAGGGUAACGGCUUACCAAGGCUAUGAUCUGUAGCCGGCCUGAGAGGGCGGUCGGCCACACUGACACUGACAUACGGGUCAGACUCCUACGGGAGGCAGCAGUCGGGAAUUUUGGGCAAUGGGCGAAAGCCUGACCCAGCAACGCCGCGUGAAGGAUGAAAUCCUUCGGGAUGUAAACUUCGCAAGAACGGGAAGAAUAAGCCGGUGCAAAUAUCACCGGCGAUGACGGUACUGUUUGUAAGCUCCGGCUAACUCCGUGCCAGCAGCCGCGGUAAUACGGGGGGAGCAAGCGUUGUUCGGAUUUACUGGGCGUAAAGGGCGCGUAGGCGGCCACCGCAAGUCAGUUGUGAAAUCUCUGGGCUUAACCCAGAAAGGUCAACUGAUACUGCGGGGCUAGAGUGCAGAAGGGGCAACUGGAAUUCUCGGUGUAGCGGUGAAAUGCGUAGAUAUCGAGAGGAACACCUGCGGCGAAGGCGGGUUGCUGGGCUGACACUGACGCUGAGGCGCGAAAGCUAGGGGAGCGAACGGGAUUAGAUACCCCGGUAGUCCUAGCCUUAAACGAUGAAUGCUUGGUGUCUGGGGUUUUAUAGUCCCC
This 806-nucleotide ribosomal RNA is filed under the name uncultured Dictyoglomota bacterium. Its description in RNAcentral is "bacterial SSU rRNA". It matches the Rfam family "Bacterial small subunit ribosomal RNA", at positions 58 to 840 of the family's 1533-position model. Lineage: Bacteria; Pseudomonadati; Dictyoglomota. The record is from RNAcentral.